UACGAAGGGGGCUAGCGUUGCUCGGAAUCACUGGGCGUAAAGCGCACGUAGGCGGAUUGCUAAGUCAGGGGUGAAAUCCUGGAGCUCAACUCCAGAACUGCCUUUGAUACUGGCGAUCUUGAGUCCGGAAGAGGUGAGUGGAACUGCGAGUGUAGAGGUGAAAUUCGUAGAUAUUCGCAAGAACACCAGUGGCGAAGGCGGCUCACUGGCCCGGUACUGACGCUGAGGUGCGAAAGCGUGGGGAGCAAACAGG
RNAcentral lists this ribosomal RNA (253 nucleotides) under uncultured bacterium. RNAcentral's name for it is "partial 16S ribosomal RNA". It matches the Rfam family "Bacterial small subunit ribosomal RNA", at positions 524 to 776 of the family's 1533-position model. The record is from RNAcentral.